AACGCAAAUUGCACUCUCUGGUAUUCCGGGGAGUAUACUUGCUUGAGGGUUAGUGAUUACAAAUCGUGAAAAGAAAUUUUUACGGAUCUGGAUUUUCCAAAGUUUUUUUUUGGUAAUCUAAAAUUUAUCUUAACAAUAGGUGAUAUUGGAAAUGUUUAUCUUUUAAUCCAUUACAAUUAUUACCAAUUUGUUACGUCGUGUUAUUUUUCUAAUUCCUUGAUUGGGUAAGAGUAACACAAUUUUCCCAUUGAAAUCUGACCUCAAGUCAAGUAAGAAUACCCGCUGAACUUAA
This 292-nucleotide unclassified non-coding RNA is filed under the name uncultured fungus. RNAcentral describes it as "sequence contains ITS2". The record is from RNAcentral. Lineage: Eukaryota; Fungi.